AACGUCCUACGGGAGGCAGCAGUGGGGAAUAUUGCACAAUGGGGGAAACCCUGAUGCAGCGAACGCCGCGUGAGCGAAGAAGUAUUUCGGUAUGUAAAGCUCUAUCAGCAGGGAAGAAGAAUGACGGUACCUGACUAAGAAGCACCGGCUAAAUACGUGC
RNAcentral lists this ribosomal RNA (160 nucleotides) under uncultured bacterium. RNAcentral's name for it is "partial 16S ribosomal RNA". It matches the Rfam family "Bacterial small subunit ribosomal RNA", at positions 334 to 508 of the family's 1533-position model. The record is from RNAcentral.